Molecule: ribosomal RNA, 720 nt
Filed under: uncultured bacterium
Lineage: Bacteria
Description: bacterial SSU rRNA
Rfam family: Bacterial small subunit ribosomal RNA
Source: RNAcentral
GUCGAACGGAAAGGCCCUGCUUUUGUGGGGUGCUCGAGUGGCGAACGGGUGAGUAACACGUGAGUAACCUGCCCUUGGAUUUGGGAUAACUUCAGGAAACUGGGGCUAAUACCGGAUAGGAGCUCCUGCUGCAUGGUGGGGGUUGGAAAGUUUCGGCGGUUGGGGAUGGGAUCGCGGCUUAUCAGCUUGUUGGUGGGGUAGUGGCUUACCAAGGCUUUGACGGGUAGCCGGCCUGAGAGGGUGACCGGCCACAUUGGGGAUGAGAUACGGCCCAGGAUCCUACGGGAGGCAGCAGUGGGGAAACAUUGCACAAUGGGCGGAAGCCUGAUGCAGCAACGCCGCGUGCGGGAUGACGGCCUUCGGGUUGUAAACCGCUUUCGCCUGUGACGAAGCGUGAGUGACGGUAAUGGGUAAAGAAGCACCGGCUAACUACGUGCCAGCAGCCGCGGUGAUACGUAGGGUGCGAGCGUUGUCCGGAUUUAUUGGGCGUAAAGGGCUCGUAGGUGGUUGAUCGCGUCGGAAGUGUAAUCUUGGGGCUUAACCCUGAGCGUGCUUUCGAUACGGGUUGGAUUGAGGAAGGUAGGGGAGAAUGGAAACUCCUGGUGGAGCGGUGGAAACGCGCAGAUAUCAGGAGGAACACCAGUGGCGAAGGCGGUUCUCUGGGCCUUUCCUGACGCUGAGGAGCGAAAGCGUGGGGAGCGAACAGGCUUAGAUACCCUG